UACGUAGGGUGCAAGCGUUGUCCGGAAUUAUUGGGCGUAAAGAGCUCGUAGGCGGUCAGUCGCGUCUGCUGUGAAAACUCGGGGCUUAACUCCGGGCCUGCAGUGGGUACGGGCUGACUAGAGUGCGGUAGGGGAGACUGGAAUUCCUGGUGUAGCGGUGAAAUGCGCAGAUAUCAGGAGGAACACCGAUGGCGAAGGCAGGUCUCUGGGCCGUAACUGACGCUGAGAAGCGAAAGCAUGGGGAGCGAACAGG
RNAcentral lists this ribosomal RNA (253 nucleotides) under uncultured bacterium. RNAcentral describes it as "partial 16S ribosomal RNA". It matches the Rfam family "Bacterial small subunit ribosomal RNA", at positions 524 to 776 of the family's 1533-position model. The record is from RNAcentral.